This 254-nucleotide ribosomal RNA is filed under the name uncultured bacterium. RNAcentral's name for it is "partial 16S ribosomal RNA". It matches the Rfam family "Bacterial small subunit ribosomal RNA", at positions 524 to 776 of the family's 1533-position model. The record is from RNAcentral.
CACGUAGGGCGCAAGCGUUGUCCGGAAUUAUUGGGCGUAAAGAGCUCGUAGGCGGUCUGUUGCGUCCGCUGUGAAAACUCGGGGCUUAACCCCGCAGCCUGCAGUGGAUACGGGCAGACUAGAGGUAGGUAGGGGAGAAUGGAAUUCCCGGUGUAGCGGUGAAAUGCGCAGAUAUCGGGAGGAACACCGGUGGCGAAGGCGGUUCUCUGGGCCUUACCUGACGCUGAGGAGCGAAAGCGUGGGGAGCGAACAGG